CACACCGGGAGCGGCGGCACCGGAGCGGCCAUGAGCGAGCGCAGCCCCAAUGAGUCCCCCUCCGCGGCGGAGGCUCCCGGCGGGCAGGAGGAAGCCAAAGCCGGUGACCCCAAGAAGGUGGAGGAGGAGGAGAUCGACAUCGACCUGAGCGCCCCGGAGACGGAGAGAGCCGCGCUCGCCAUCCAGGGAAAAUUCCGCCGCUUCCAGAAGCAGAAGAAGGAAUCGGGGCCCUGAGCGGCCCCCGGGACCCCGCACCCGCGGCGGGCACCGGCUCCUGCCCCGUCCGUCCAACGCCAGCAGGGCCGAGGGGGGCUCAGCCCUUCCGUACCCCCGGGGUGACGCUGUGGGGGGGGACACAGGCGCGUCCCCCGGAGCGGAGGUGGCCCCUGGUGCGAGGGGACAGCGUGGAAGUGCCCUUUUCCCGGGGGAGCCUCCAUGUCCCUGUGGGUGCUGGGGACAAGGAAGGGGACACACACACCCCCCGGUGUCCCCCUGAGUGAGGGCAGCCCCUGUCCCACCCGCCACGGGAAACCGGCCCCCCCCCGCUUCUGUCAUCGUCAUUGUCACCGUCCCCACCCCGGGGGGGGGGGACUUGUAGCAUAUGAAGGAAUAAACCGGGAGAAGAGGAGCCCGAGCGGCGCGUGGUGUGUAGGGACAGACCCCCACUUCCCCCGUGGGUCCCUGCCGGGAACGGGGGAACAGGGAUAUGGGGAUAUGGCACUUCGAGAAUGGCUUCAUCCCGCCCGAAUCUCCCAUCACCCUCUCAUUUGGGGUUUAUCCCAUGAAAUUCCGCUUCAUUCCUCAGCCCCUGGAGCCGUGGCCUCAUUUCCCAGCGCGCUGCGGUGAUUAAAGAUGCUGCUGCUGCCCC
Strigops habroptila (Kakapo) is the source of this 868-nucleotide long non-coding RNA. Lineage: Eukaryota; Metazoa; Chordata; Aves; Psittaciformes; Psittacidae. The record is from Ensembl.